RNAcentral lists this unclassified non-coding RNA (795 nucleotides) under Hevea brasiliensis (rubber tree). The record is from RNAcentral. Lineage: Eukaryota; Viridiplantae; Streptophyta; Magnoliopsida; Malpighiales; Euphorbiaceae.
GUACUUUCCCCUCGACUCAUCGUCGAAUGAGAAAGGGCUCCUCUUGAAUUUUGAAGACCGGAACGGCAAGGCCUGGCGAUUCCGGUACUCUUAUUGGAACAGUAGCCAGAGCUAUGUGAUGACCAAAGGCUGGAGCCGGUUCGUCAAGGGAAGCUUGAUGCAGGCGAUGUCGUGUCAUUUCAGCGAGGCGUUGGCGAGUCAGGGAAGCAUCAUUUAUACAUAGACUGGAGACGCAGGCCUAAUGCACCAGAUCCAACAUUGUUUGCACAUUUAGAGCUGCAAAAUCAGCUACGCUUCCAACAGUCGGUGAGUUGGGGUAGGCUCUACUCGCUGCCUCAGCCUUUGUCGUCUAUUCCACGACCAUAUGAACAACCUCAAUUCCAGCAUUUGAGUUACAGUAUUCAUCAUCAUCAUCAACCUUAUCAUCAAUAUCAUUAUCAUCAACAGGCGCAGCAUUACUUAAGACCAGCAGGGGCACUUCCAAUUGGGGCAGUGUAUCAACAAGGAGGGGAUCAAGCACCAGCGGUGGUUGAUUCAGUUCCAGUUGUUCACGGAAGAAGUGUGGGAAAGCGGUUGAGGCUUUUCGGUGUAAACAUGGAGUGUCCAGCACAAGAUGAUCAGUCUUCUUCUUCUUCUCCUCCUUCUUCUUGUUCUUUUGUUACCCUACCAGCACAUGGAAGUACUACAACCAUGAGUUCGUUCUCGCCUUUUUUAGCUUCCUCACCUCUUCAGCCUCCCCAGUCAAGGGUACACAGUAGUUCAAUGCCAACAACGCAAGAAGCUGAGUUUUCAAAG